RNAcentral lists this ribosomal RNA (497 nucleotides) under uncultured bacterium. RNAcentral's name for it is "partial 16S ribosomal RNA". It matches the Rfam family "Bacterial small subunit ribosomal RNA", at positions 28 to 507 of the family's 1533-position model. The record is from RNAcentral.
GAUGAACGCUGGCGGCGUGCCUAAUACAUGCCAGUAGAACGCUGAAGGAAGGAGCUUGCUCUUUCCGGAUGAGUUGCGAACGGGUGAGUAACGCGUAGGUAACCUGCCUGGUAGCGGGGGAUAACUAUUGGAAACGAUAGCUAAUACCGCAUAACAGUAGAUGUUGCAUGACAACUAUUUGAAAGGGGCAAUUGCUCCACUACCAGAUGGACCUGCGUUGUAUUAGCUAGUUGGUGAGGUAACGGCUCACCAAGGCGACGAUACAUAGCCGACCUGAGAGGGUGAUCGGCAACACUGGGACUGAGACACGGCCCAGACUCCUACGGGAGGCAGCAGUAGGGAAUCUUCGGCAAUGGACGGAAGUCUGACCGAGCAACGCCGCGUGAGGGAAGAAGGUUUUCGGAUCGUAAAGCUCUGUUGUAAGAGAAGAACGAGUGUGAGAGUGGAAAGUUCACACUGUGACGGUAUCUUACCAGAAAGGGACGGCUAACUACGUG